RNAcentral lists this ribosomal RNA (253 nucleotides) under uncultured bacterium. Its description in RNAcentral is "partial 16S ribosomal RNA". It matches the Rfam family "Bacterial small subunit ribosomal RNA", at positions 524 to 776 of the family's 1533-position model. The record is from RNAcentral.
UACGUAGGGUGCGAGCGUUGUCCGGAAUUAUUGGGCGUAAAGGGCUCGUAGGCGGUCUGUCACGUCGGGAGUGAAAACUCGGGGCUUAACUCCGAGCCUGCUUCUGAUACGGGCAGACUAGAGGUAUGCAGGGGAGAAUGGAAUUCCUGGUGUAGCGGUGAAAUGCGCAGAUAUCAGGAGGAACACCGGUGACGAAGGCGGUUCUCUGGGCAUGACCUGACGCUGAGGAGCGAAAGUGUGGGGAGCGAACAGG